This 429-nucleotide ribosomal RNA is filed under the name Pseudomonadota bacterium. RNAcentral describes it as "Proteobacteria bacterium partial 16S ribosomal RNA". It matches the Rfam family "Bacterial small subunit ribosomal RNA", at positions 355 to 776 of the family's 1533-position model. The record is from RNAcentral. Lineage: Bacteria; Pseudomonadati; Pseudomonadota.
UGGGGAAUAUAGGACAAUGGGCGAAAGCCUGAUCCAGCCAUGCCGCGUGUGUGAAGAAGGUCUUCGGAUUGUAAAGCACUUUAAGUUGGGAGGAAGGGCAGUAAGCGAAUACCUUGCUGUUUUGACGUUACCGACAGAAUAAGCACCGGCUAACUCUGUGCCAGCAGCCGCGGGAAUACAGAGGGUGCAAGCGUUAAUCGGAAUUACUGGGCGUAAAGCGCGCGUAGGUGGUUCGUUAAGUUGAAUGUGAAAGCCCCGGGCUCAACCUGGGAACUGCAUCCCAAACUGGCGAGCUAGAGUAGGGCAGAGGGUGGUGGAAUUUCCUGUGUAGCGGUGAAAUGCGUAGAUAUCGGACGGAACACCAGUGGCGUAGGCGACCACCUGGGCUCAUACUGACACUGAGGUGCGAAAGCGUGGGGAGCAAACAGG